This is a long non-coding RNA of Homo sapiens (human), 2540 nucleotides long. RefSeq lists it as uncharacterized. The record is from RefSeq and is a predicted model, not a curated record. Lineage: Eukaryota; Metazoa; Chordata; Mammalia; Primates; Hominidae. The transcript is spliced from 2 exons.
CCUGGAAGGAUAAAGGUAGAGGCAAAUUAUGGAAAAUUAAACCCAAAAAGAAGAGAAGGAUGCCACUUACAGGACACAGCGUUUGUCCCCUUCAAGGAAGUGAUGUUCUCUGAGAAGCACAGACCUGGCCCUCGCUAGACACUGAACCUGCCGGUGCCCUGAUCUUGGACUUCCUCGCCUCCAAAACUGUAAGAAAUAGGUUUCUGUUCUUUAUCCAUUAUCUAGUCACAGGUAUUUUGUUACAGCAGUACAAACUAAGAAAGUUCCCAGUGAUGUCACCUCUGGGAGCAGCAGUUUGACUUUCUGUGGUGUAAAUCAUGUCAAGUCCUGAAGCAUAUAGCUGUUAUCAUUAUUGACCUCAAAAAUUUCACCCCACUGUGUAAAACGUCUACAUUUGACAAUGAUAGAGGUUAAUAACAUUUAGUGACCAAGAUCCAUCACAACUUCCAAGUUAUAUUAACAUUCAGGAAGAAAAAUGAAGGGAAAGUUAGCUAAAUUUAAAUGUCAAUCUAAUUUGAUUUCUAUAUUAUUGAACAUCCCCUAUGCCAUACAAUGCAACUAGGUUAACUUUUCAAUAUGAUGCCAGUUUUACUACUGAUCCAGCUCUUUUUGAGUGCUCCUUACCUUGUAUUUGAGAAAAGUAAAUACAUGUCAAGAAAAGAGCCAAAGUUUUUCACUGAAUUUAGGUCACAAAGAUUUUCUGUUUGAAAUGACAGAAAGGGAUUUUCAUUUUAAUAUACUUUAUUAUUUAAAAUGCAUUCUAAAAUCCACUCUUUUUGUUUAAAGAGAUGCCCAUGUAGGGAGGGAAAUCUAUAAUUCGUUGGUAUUUACAGAGAAGUUAAUUCUUCAGUAAAAGUGAACUGCAACUGUUACAAAUACAUUCUAAUACCAUUUCCUUUCAGAACAGUAUUUGUUGCUGCCAUUAUUAUUACUACUAUUGCUAUUACUAUUGCUAUCUAGGCAAAUCAAGAAAUAUGAAAAGCAGCAACACAGGGUCAUGACUUUAUGCUCACGAAUCACAUACAUGACGUCUAUGCAGAGAGUGACAGCCCAUGGAAGGAGAUCCUUGGGGCUGCCGGCUGACUCACCACCACCAUUCGCUGACUCACCACCACCAUUCGGUUCUGUGCGUGUCCCCGUCACUGGCUUGAAUGAUGAUUUGGUCAUUGACUCAAUGUAGAGCUGCUGACCCAGAUUUUUAAUUUUGUUCACACUGGCAUAGACCUGCUGCAAGGUCAUCUUAGGGAAAGGAAUGAUAAAAUAUGUUUCAAAAAUUAUAAAAAUGUCCACUAAAAGAUACAUAAACAAAAUACACUUAGCUUCUGUUUCUUUGAAGAUAUAAUGACUGAAGCACAGUAAUCACUUUAAUCCAGUUUCCUGCACCAUGCCACAGUAUACUGGUACCAACAAAUUCUAAAUAAAUCUGUUCACAAUAUGCUAAUUUUUAGAACGCAUACAAUUAAUUCAAAUAUCACUUUCCAAAGGUGAUAUUUUCUUUUUACAGACUUUUUUUUCCAAACCAAAAUGGAUGAAAAUAUCUGUUAUCAGUUGAGGUCUUCAAGUCAGGAAUAUAUACUAAGAUGUCACCACAUUCAGAACCGAGGUAGUACAGAAAACACGAUGCCUGUAUAAGAAUGUGACAUAAGCCCAUGCACCUGCUCCGCCUUCGUCUCCUCCACACGGUGCCCACUGGCCUCACUGGAGGAGGCGAUGCUGACAAGCUGCUCCUGCGACCCGCUGCUCCCCAGGCUCCCGUAGCCGCUGGACACGCUCACGUGAACUGGCUGGAAGGACAAAGAGGAACAAGUCCAGAAUUGCUGGCUGUUCAAAUGCAGCCACCGCAGAGCUCAUCUAGAAUCAUGUAAAAAUUAAGAUGACAAUUCCUGAAAUACUAAAUUAGGUGUGUGCAGGUUGGUACUUUUAAUGCUGAUGCUGACACGAAAGGCACUCCUCUGUCAUUUCGGCAAUUUUCAAGAGCAAGGUCUUAUGUUCUAGUCUAGGUAGGUAUUUCCAGGACAACAUAUUGUUAAAAAGCCAUAGUAUAAUUAAUUUUUUAAAACAGGAAAAUAAACUCUAGUUCUUUAUGCCCAGUUUAGAAUACAGAGAACAAACUAACUAUAUAUUAUACUUUUUCCAAGAACGUGGCAGGUAUUUCAUGCACCCUAGAGAUUUUAUGGGAGACAUUCUGAAAACCACCGAGGACAGUUACUCUACACGACACCAUUAGUUCUAUUUACCACUUAUUCAUUGAAUCUCUUGUAGAAAACACCUUUAGUUAUUUCAACACAUACAUUUUCCCACUUUUACCUUACAAUAGUUAAGAGAAACUGAGACCUACCAUCCCUCUCCUCCCAUCUUUAAAACUGAAAUUAUUUUAAAAAUCCUGAAGCCAAAACCCAAAGGCUGAGCACGCUGGUGCCUUUGGAAUGUAAUAAUUCUCUCAGUCACGUGGUUUGCUGUCUUACAAUGGGUUCUUACAAAAAUAUUCUGUGUAACACAGAAUAAGGAACAAAGAAUAAAAUUUAAUUUAAAAACGAAAA